Molecule: ribosomal RNA, 252 nt
Filed under: uncultured bacterium
Lineage: Bacteria
Description: partial 16S ribosomal RNA
Rfam family: Bacterial small subunit ribosomal RNA
Source: RNAcentral
GACGAGGGAUCCUAGCGUUGUUCGGAAUCAUUGGGCGUAAAGAGUAUGUAGGCGGCCUUGUGAGUCAGUUGUGAAAGCCCCGGGCUCAACCCGGGAAGUGCAAUUGAUACUGCUUGGCUUGAAUGUGGAAGAGGGCAGUAGAAUUCCAGGUGUAGUGGUGAAAUACGUAGAUAUCUGGAGGAAUACCGGUGGCGAAGGCGGCUGCCUGGUCCUACAUUGACGGUGAGAUACGAAAGCGUGGGGAGCAAACAG